GACGAACGCUGGCGGCGUGCUUAACACAUGCAAGUCGAACGGAAAGGCCCUGCUUUUGUGGGGUGCUCGAGUGGCGAACGGGUGAGUAACACGUGAGUAACCUGCCCUUGACUUUGGGAUAACUUCAGGAAACUGGGGCUAAUACCGGAUAGGAGCUCCUGCUGCAUGGUGGGGGUUGGAAAGUUUCGGCGGUUGGGGAUGGGCUCGCGGCUUAUCAGCUUGUUGGUGGGGUAGUGGCUUACCAAGGCUUUGACGGGUAGCCGGCCUGAGAGGGUGACCGGCCACAGUGGGACUGAGAUACGGCCCAGACUCCUACGGGAGGCAGCAGUGGGGAAUAUUGCACGAUGGGCGGAAGCCUGAUGCAGCAACGCCGCGUGCGGGAUGACGGCCUUCGGGUUGUAAACCGCUUUCGCCUGUGACGAAGCGUGAGUGACGGUAAUGGGUAAAGAAGCACCGGCUAACUACGUG
This 468-nucleotide ribosomal RNA is filed under the name uncultured bacterium. RNAcentral describes it as "partial 16S ribosomal RNA". It matches the Rfam family "Bacterial small subunit ribosomal RNA", at positions 28 to 507 of the family's 1533-position model. The record is from RNAcentral.